Molecule: non-coding RNA, 777 nt
Organism: Schizosaccharomyces pombe (fission yeast)
Lineage: Eukaryota; Fungi; Ascomycota; Schizosaccharomycetes; Schizosaccharomycetales; Schizosaccharomycetaceae
Source: the annotation of a GenBank genome assembly
UUUUUUAGAGUUCACUUUAUUCUGUGGUACAUACUCUAAAUCCAAUCCCAAAAACAUCCCCUGAAAUGCUUCAGUAACGGGAUAGGUGUAAGUCUCGGUGACUGGUGGAUGUACAGACAUACCAGAGGUUGUUAAAGCUAUAUGUUUUGUUUUAGUUUUUGCCUGGGUUUUCUGCUGAUCGGUAAUGCUUUGUUGAGCUUUAGCAGCAAAAGAGGGUUUGCUGAAGACAUUGCUACUCGGUUUACUGGGGUUGACAUCCGUGGAUAGAGAAAAUGGAUUGUUUGCGGAUGUAGCAUCUGAAAAGGGAUUCAGUCCUCUACUAGAUUCAGAAGUAAUCGCAAACGGGUUCACUUUUUUUUCCUUCGGUGAAGAUUUUUUUUCUUCAAGGUGAGAUAUAGCUUUUGGUGAUUUGACAGCCUCAAUGUCACUUUUUAGGGGAAGCCUCACUCCUCUGACACAAACUAUUGAAUUUGGAACACGUCGACACGAAGGAUUAUGACAACCCCAGACAUACAAAGCUCGUUCUUUGAGAUUAUCACCUUCCAACGGAGCAUAGCAUUGAAGAAGCAACCGACAUAAAUUUUUGCAAUUUCCACAUUUAAUUAUAUUGGGAUUCAGUGAACAUCCGUCAAAAAAUACUGGAAACCCUCCUAGAAAUGUGGAGUAUUCAUCUGGCUUAUCUUCUUGGGAAAUAGGGACGUCUGGAAAACCUAACCAAGCCUGAGUCUGAACCCAUUUUUGAGACAUGGUUUGAGUGUUCAAUUGCAAAGAGACCAC